This 1362-nucleotide long non-coding RNA is filed under the name Homo sapiens (human). Its description in RNAcentral is "non-protein coding ARHGEF7-IT1:2". Lineage: Eukaryota; Metazoa; Chordata; Mammalia; Primates; Hominidae. The record is from RNAcentral.
GGUUCCUAUUGUGUGCGUGCUAGUGACCCAAUCACACGCAUGGAAGCGCACGCAUGGAUGCCAGCCAUACCACCUCUUCAGGCAGUCUGUUUCCAUUAGGUCACAAGCAUGAAGGUGAAAGAAAAAAGACAAUUAUUCCACGUGAACAGGUGAAAGAACAAUCUUCGACCACCAGACUCAACUUGAGUUGUCUUAUGAAUCUGUACUGCUCUCAGUUUUCUUGUACCCAGAUUCUUCAAGGGCACAUGGAAUGGUGGCUGCCGAUGGAAGUGGCGAGACCUCAACGGUGCCCACCCCAGCUGCACUUGCUUCCUGGGGAUCUGCAUCGCUGCAGCCUAACCUUGAGGGGUGGCAGGGCAAGUGCUGUUUCCCAGCUCACUCUCAUUCAACAAUUAAGAUACAACUGCUACGUUUUCAUCUAACAAUACUGGGAGAACAAAAUACGACUCAAUGGUGAAAUGUAUUCUGGGUUAUCUGAUGAAGUUUUAUCUUUAAAUAUUUUGUUAUCCAUUUUUGGCAUUGCUAUGAAUUUGGGACUGUUGCCACCAACUCUGAGGGAUUUUAAACUGCUUUUAGAGUUUGUGAGAACCAAGCCUCAGGGGAUGCAUGAGUCAGUUGAAGCACUGUAGUCUUGUUGGUCUCUCUUUGACAUUUCAUGUCUCUGGCAUAUCUGAAUUUAGGUUGGGAACUGGAGGUUUGGUACACUUGUAUCUAUUACUACCCUUCAUAAUCUGGCCAGUUCCAUACUCAUGGAAAACAAUUUGUUUGUUCCCAGAUGGCUGCAGCAUUUCAUUUAGAGUUGGGCUUUGGGAUUUCUUGAAGAAGGAAUGCAAAAGAGAAACAUGCUUUAAAAAAGGUUUAAAUUUCUUCCAGUAAACGACUUGCUUAGUAUGCUGAAGACUUUUUGGGGGAGCAGCUUACUUAUCUGGUAUUUAGCAGUCAAAUCCUUGGCAUUUCUGCCUGUUGCUUCAUGUUUUCCAAUGGAUUUGGAGGAAGAGUUGUCCUGGAGACUUCCAAGUUAGCUCCACUGACCUACAUUUUCACUCCAUUUAACAUUAUUGACUGUGGAAUGAGCCAGAGUGCCGUGGAAGAGCAUAAUUCCUGAUCAGAAGACAGCUGCAAUUUAAUUAGAAUAAAGCAGUGACUACCAUGUAAUUAAAAAUUAGAUGAACCAUUGAAUGCUAAGCGGACUUCUAGAAGGUGAACUUAGGAUUUCAAACCUACCACUGCAUCUCUGCAUGACAUGGUGGAGAUCUGCCCUAUGAAGACCCCAGCACGCUGGCAGCCCAUCUGUCUUGAGGACUGUUUUGUGACGGGGGAGUCACGUUGGCCUGAGGGGAAGAAUAAUAGAUUGGGAGUGGU